Molecule: ribosomal RNA, 448 nt
Filed under: uncultured bacterium
Lineage: Bacteria
Description: bacterial SSU rRNA
Rfam family: Bacterial small subunit ribosomal RNA
Source: RNAcentral
CAGGGAAUCUUGCACAAUGGGCGAAAGCCUGAUGCAGCGACGCCGCGUGGGGGAUGAAGGCCUUAGGGUCGUAAACCCCUUUCAGCAGGGACGAAAAUGACGGUACCUGCAGAAGAAGCCCCGGCCAACUACGUGCCAGCAGCCGCGGUAAGACGUAGGGGGCGAGCGUUGUCCGGAUUUAUUGGGCGUAAAGAGCUCGUAGGCGGUUGCGUAAGUCGGAUGUGAAAACUCAGGGCUCAACCCUGAGACGCCAUCCGAUACUGCGCUGACUUGAAUCCAGUAGGGGAGUGUGGAAUUCCUGGUGUAGCGGUGAAAUGCGCAGAUAUCAGGAGGAACACCCAUGGCGAAGGCAGCACUCUGGGCUGGUAUUGACGCUGAGGAGCGAAAGCAUGGGUAGCGAACAGGAUUAGAUACCCCAGUAGUCCCUGAGCGGGCUGGCAAGGCGCAU